RNAcentral lists this small RNA (568 nucleotides) under Pan troglodytes (chimpanzee). Its description in RNAcentral is "processed transcript". The record is from RNAcentral. Lineage: Eukaryota; Metazoa; Chordata; Mammalia; Primates; Hominidae.
AGGGAAGAGGAGGCCAGAGAAGGGCGAAACCUGCAACGUGGCGGGGUCUAAGGAAGGUCGGAGCUCGGGGGAAUACGCAGGUUUUGGAAGAAGGCGGGAGCUGACGAAGAGGCGGGGCACCGGGAAAAGAGGCGCUCCCCAGAGAGGGCGGGGUUUGGGCAGGGACAAUCCUAUCCGGAGAUUGUCUUGCACAGCCUGGGCCAGAAGUGUUUAAGCUUUUCCCGAGCAGAGACAGUGGCACAGCUGAGGAGCACAGAACCUCAACUGUCUGGUGUGGGUGACCGGCAGUGGUUGUAUCAGACAUGUACCGAGUUCGGCUUCUGGGACACAGACCCCUGGCAUGUGCUAAGUGUAACACAGGCUUUAGGAUCCUCAGAAUCAACUCUUCUUAUCCGCACUGGCUCCCACUGCUUGGACAUGGCACCUGAGAGGCCCUCAGACUCCCCCAGCCUCCGCCUAGGGCGCCAGAACAUCUUCCAGCAGCUACAGACCUGGCUCAAGCUGGCAAAGGAGAGCCAGAUUAAGGGUGAAGUCUGAAUCUCAUACCCUUUCCACUCCCUGCAUGGUC